AAAGACGUGUCUUGCUUCCCCUUCGCCGUCUGCCUUGAUUGUGAGGCCUCCCCAGCCACAUGGAACUACUUUGCUGCUCUAUUGCCAAGCUACUCAUAUCCCCGUUACUGUGAAACUUGGUGAAAUUCCUCAGGGAUUCUGAGAGAUCAAAGCAUGCUGACCAUGUUUUCCAUGACAAAUGGAGCAGCUCUGGAGUCUUAGAAUCAUAAAAGAUGGAGACAUUAUAUUUUUUUGUAAUUACUUCUGAGAAUUAGAAAAAGGAAAUGAAGUGAGAAUGAGCAGUAGUGGCUAUCUAUUGUGGUGGUUCAUCAUCAGAAACUUAGACUGAACUACUAUAAUUAUGUAAGUGUAUCUGUGGAUGACUGUUAAUAAACUUCCAUUCAAAUAAAAUAAA
Symphalangus syndactylus (siamang) is the source of this 394-nucleotide long non-coding RNA. RefSeq lists it as uncharacterized. The record is from RefSeq and is a predicted model, not a curated record. NCBI's taxonomy places the organism in Eukaryota, Metazoa, Chordata, Mammalia, Primates, Hylobatidae.